This 164-nucleotide ribosomal RNA is filed under the name Gentiana robusta. Its description in RNAcentral is "5.8S ribosomal RNA". It matches the Rfam family "5.8S ribosomal RNA". Rfam says of the family: 5.8S ribosomal RNA (5.8S rRNA) is a component of the large subunit of the eukaryotic ribosome. It is transcribed by RNA polymerase I as part of the 45S precursor that also contains 18S and 28S rRNA. The record is from RNAcentral. Lineage: Eukaryota; Viridiplantae; Streptophyta; Magnoliopsida; Gentianales; Gentianaceae.
AAAACGACUCUCGGCAACGGAUAUCUCGGCUCUCGCAUCGAUGAAGAACGUAGCGAACUGCGAUACUUGGUGUGAAUUGCAGAAUUCCGUGAACCAUCGAGUCUUUGAACGCAAGUUGCGCCCGAAGCCAUUAGGCCGAGGGCACGUCUGCCUGGGCGUCACGC